Non-coding RNA from Lates calcarifer (barramundi perch), 1448 nucleotides. The record is from the annotation of a RefSeq genome assembly. Lineage: Eukaryota; Metazoa; Chordata; Actinopteri; Centropomidae.
GAACAGAAACUGAACUUGCUGCAGCUGGAAGCUACUGCAGAGACUUAUACAGUUCACUGAGGACACACACACACACACACACACACACACACACAUUUUUAUUUUACUAUGUUCCUGGUGAUCUGUGAUUGACAUUGGUUUCCCUAACCCAACCAUUACAACUGAAUUUGUACUCCUAACUCUAAAACCAAGUCUUAACCUUCAAAGAGACAUUUAAACAUGCAAGGUUCAGCAUGUUGGUUGUUGGCUUCCAGUUUUCACACCCCAUAAAUAUAGAAAAACAAGCAAAAAUUCAUUGUGAACAGAAAAACUGUUGUUUAUUGAUUUGACUGGAGUUAUUCAGCAAUGUCAAAAUGUACACUAAUGUAUCAUCUGCAAACACAGAAAUAAAAUCAAUUUGAUGUUGCUUAUUCAACACCAGCAGCACAUGAAGUUUAACCCCAGGAUGGAUUCUUGUGGGACGCCAAAACUAUUAUUGAUAGUAGUUGAUGAGUGUUGACCAAGUGAGACAACAUCAUCUCUGCCUGACAGAUGAGAACUGAACCAGUUUAACACAAGAAAACAUCCACAGUAUAAGUUUCACUAUAUUGUUGUUGAAAUUAUCAGUGACAAUAUUUUAAUGUAAAGGUAUAAUACUGAUAAUAUCUUAUAGUCUGUUUAACCUUUGGUUGUUAUCUCUGUGCUGCAGUGAGUCAAAGAGCUGAAACUGACUUCAUGUAAAAAGUAGGUAAUUGCAGAAAAAUGACUUUUGAAUUUAAGAUACCGGUAUAUUCCCUGUAACUGGGUGUUCUAUUUGAUUAGACAUCUAAUGUGACACAGUUUUCUUGGCCUUUCACCUGCAUUGUAUUUAUUGACGUGUCAUUUUUAUGCUGUUUUUAUCUCUGUGAGGAUGAUUUAAACAGUCAGUGCUCCCAGCAUUGAGUGGGAGACAGCCUGAUGUGUUGAGGACAGCUACAGUUGACUGACUCUGUGUGUUUGCAUAUCUGUCCUGCCUCUCUGCUCCCAGCCGUUAAGAGGCCAGUGUUGAUCAGUGGCUGUCCAGGCCUUUCAGAGCCACUGACACACCAGCAGCACAAUCAUGAUGUCUCUGACUCUACUGCUGGCCACCCUGGGGCUCCUUGUUCAGGGUUCAUCAGGAGAAAUCACCCUGACUCAGAUUCCUGGAUCUCAGUCUGUUGUUCCAGGACAGACGGUCUCUAUCAGAUGUAAAGCCAGUUCAAGUGUUAGUAGCUACCUCCACUGGUACCUUCAGAAACCUGGAGAAGCUCCUAAACUCCUGAUUAGAUAUGCUACAACUCGUCAGUCUGGAGUUUCAGAUCGUUUUAGUGGAAGUGGAUCUGGGACUGACUUCACUCUGACCAUCAGUAGAGUCCAGACUGAAGAUUCAGGAGUUUACUACUGUCAGCAGGGUAACAGCUUCCCGUUCACACAGUGAUACAACGUCGUAC